Molecule: ribosomal RNA, 252 nt
Filed under: uncultured bacterium
Lineage: Bacteria
Description: partial 16S ribosomal RNA
Rfam family: Bacterial small subunit ribosomal RNA
Source: RNAcentral
UACGGAGGGUGCAAGCGUUAUCCGGAUUCACUGGGUUUAAAGGGUGCGUAGGUGGGCAGUUAAGUCAGUGGUGAAAUCUCCGGGCUCAACCGGAAACUGCCAUUGAUACUAUCUGUCUUGAAUAUCGUGGAGGUAAGCGGAAUAUGUCAUGUAGCGGUGAAAUGCUUAGAUAUGACAUAGAACACCAAUUGCGAAGGCAGCUUACUACCCGAAUAUUGACACUGAGGCACGAAAGCGUGGGGAUCAAACAGG